This 73-nucleotide transfer RNA is filed under the name Gemmatimonadota bacterium. Its description in RNAcentral is "Gemmatimonadetes bacterium tRNA-Ala". It matches the Rfam family "tRNA". Rfam says of the family: Transfer RNA (tRNA) molecules are approximately 80 nucleotides in length. Their secondary structure includes four short double-helical elements and three loops (D, anti-codon, and T loops). Lineage: Bacteria; Pseudomonadati; Gemmatimonadota. The record is from RNAcentral. RNAcentral also lists the same sequence under 4 other names.
GGGGCCGUAGCUCAGUUGGGAGAGCGCCUGAAUCGCACUCAGGAGGUCAGGGGUUCAAGUCCCCUCGGCUCCA